AUGGCAUUCCCAACCCUACCAAUCACACUCACAUGCCUUACACUGUUGGUAUUCCUGUGGAUUGCCAUGGCAGCUGAUAACGACUCCAUGGACUCUGGCCUCGUCCUCCUAAAUUGUGGAGAAUCAAACCAAGACAAUGACAGUAGUGGCCGUAUGUGGGACGGGGACACCGGCUCCAAAUUCAUGACACCGGUUAAAGGGGUUGCAGCCAAUGCUUCAUACCAAGACCCUUCACUCCCCUCCAUGGUGCCUUAUAUGACUGCACGCAUCUUCACUUCAAGUUACACAUAUUCCACAUGCAUCAACAUAGCGUGGUCUGAUGAUUCCCCAUGA
Molecule: ribosomal RNA, 333 nt
Filed under: Triticum aestivum (bread wheat)
Lineage: Eukaryota; Viridiplantae; Streptophyta; Magnoliopsida; Poales; Poaceae
Description: partial small subunit ribosomal RNA
Source: RNAcentral